UUGAGAAUCGUUAGUCGGCGCAUUUAUCGGUUGUGUUGUUGUUGCUUAAUAACCGGACAGCCCAGACAGAAACCACAAAUGAAAUAACCACCGCUUGAGAACCCACCAGGUAAACUUAAACAUUGUACCUUACGACAGUUCAACGUAAUUAAUCAAAUAUAUGAGACUCUAUGGCACUCUCUCAAUCAAAAUCUCUCGCACUUUUGAAACGGGUCCUUCACACACGCACACACACACACACACACAUUCACACAUACACACGCACACCACCACCAAAUAGCAAGGAAAACACUUGCAGUAAUUUUGUAGCCUCAGGUGUUUGUUUCAAUUCCGAAACGAAACGCCAAACAUAUAUAUAAUAAGAGAAUAACAAAGCUAAUGAAAACGAGUUGGCAGAAUGCAAAAGGAAGAAGAAGAAGAAGAACGAGGGUUGAACAGAAAUUGUAAUAAUUAAAAGAAAACAAAAAAAUUAAAUGAAAAUGGAAAAUUGAAAAUUGAAAUUUGUGGCAUCCAAUGGAAUGCAAAAGUAUUUAGCAAUUCUGUUUGGCAUAUCGCAAAUCGGUAUCUGCGUACUUUCCCGUAAUAAUAAUUAUAAUCGUAAUACUACUAAUAGAGCAGCCAGUUGAGAGAAGGAGAAGAACCCUUCAAGUGUGUUAUUCACGUUUUAUUAGAGCAAGAAGAAGAAGAAAAAAUGAAUAAUAUGAGAGUUAAAAUGUACCAUGUACCUAAGAACUUUACACCUAUGUACAACAAAUAGCGAAAACUAAUUUACCUACGUGUACUUUAUACUAUAUAUGCAUAUACACCCACUGAUGUAUAUAUAUAUAUAUAUAUAUGAAUAUACAUAUAUAUGUUAGAGUUAAGCGAUUGGCAGGCAACAAGUAGUGCAAGCGUAACAAUCAAACCAAAUUGAACGAGUCGGAGUCGAGUCGAGUCGAGUCGAGUCAAUCACUCAAAUAAUAACGAUCAUUGAACUCGGCUUGCUGUCUGCCCAGCCCAGCAGGUCAGCAGGCGGGUAGUUCGAUGCACGCCUCCAAAUACCUGCCACACCCACACACCCACGCACCCAUACACCCACACACCUAUACACCUACACGAGAGCAUCUAAGCCACUUUGAGAUGUUGCAAGUUCGAUAAAGAUUUUUCUCUAAUUAGUCUCGAUGUUGUUUCAGCGCCUAUAGCCAAACUCUUCAAUAUAUCUAUAUAUACAAUACAUAUAAGUACAUAUACGUAUAUGCGCACACAAAUACAUGCACACAUCUGUGUAUGUAUGUAAAACGAGUCGGAGCACGUGUCUAGAUAUUAGGGCACAUGUGUGUGUCAGCUCGUCAAUUCGUUUAAGUUGCAUGCAACAUUAGCUUAGUUUGUACAUAAUGCUACUUAUGCCGCUCUCCUCGAAGGAACGAAAUGCUCUUCUCGCUUUUCCGAUAAUCAAUAAUCAACCAAUUCGAUUCAACAUUCAAUAGCAGUGCCCACUGUACCUAAAGUUAGUCCUCAGAAUGCCUCUGGCAAGGAGUUUAUCAACUGUUUGAAAAAUUGACAAAAUGUCGCUGGACGACGAAAAACUAAAAAAAAAAAAAUAAGAAAAAGAAAAACAUAUAAAAGAAUAUACUUAUUUUUAAAUAUAAAUAUAUAUGCAUAAGCACAGAGAAACAUACAUACCCACACACACAUAUACUUACUCACACACACACACAAGUGCAAAAGUCGAACUGGAAUACCUUAGAGCCUGUUCAAGGAUAAUCACAUGGAAAGAGCGCUUACAUUUAGAAACUAUAUAAACAAGAUCUAUAUAUAUGUAUGUAUGCAUACAUAUAUACAUACAUACAUAUAUAGAAGCUAUUAUCAUAACGCAAGAGCAAUCAAUGUUUAAAUUUAUUAAAUGUUACAAAAAUGUUUUAAAUAAUAAUAAA
Molecule: long non-coding RNA, 1913 nt
Organism: Drosophila navojoa
Lineage: Eukaryota; Metazoa; Arthropoda; Insecta; Diptera; Drosophilidae
Source: RefSeq, a predicted model, not a curated record